Molecule: unclassified non-coding RNA, 1118 nt
Filed under: Hevea brasiliensis (rubber tree)
Lineage: Eukaryota; Viridiplantae; Streptophyta; Magnoliopsida; Malpighiales; Euphorbiaceae
Source: RNAcentral
AGUCUUUUGGUGCUCUCUCCGUCGCGUAAUUUCUCUGUCUUUUCUUCGCUGCAUUUCUUCAUCUCUGUAAGGUUUAGUUUCCAGUUUAAUUUUGGAUUCCAUUUCGCGAUCUUCGAUAACGAUCGCGAUUUUUGUUUGUUGUGAGAAUUCAUCGAACUACGAUUUGUAGAAGAAGAUUUAGAGUUCAAUCGAUGGAGGCCGAUUCAUGGAAUGUUCCCUUUCAAGUUUCGUCUUCGCGACGCUACCGAUCUCGGUCCGGCGUGUACCAAGGAGAUCAUGAAGAAAUUGAAGAGGAAAACUCGAGAGCUGAAUUUUUAUGUCCGUUUUGCGCCGAGGAUUUUGAUAUCGUAGGUCUUUAUUGUCAUGUCGACGAGGAGCACCCGGUGGAAGUCAAGAACGCGGUAUGUCCACUAUGCACGAAGAAAGUGGGGAUGGAUAUUGUUGGCCACAUCAUCUCACAACAUGGGAGCCUUUUCAAGGUGCAGCGACAUAGGAGAUUGCGGAAAAUUGGAUCCAAUUUGACAUUUUCGAAGCUGAGGAAAGAGCUUAGGGAAGGAACCUUGAGAUCCCUUCUUGGUGGUUCUUUACACUCUGCCCCCACAAGUACUGAACCUGAUCCAUUGUUGUUUUCAUUUACUUCUAAUCUGCCUACUGUCAGUAAACCUACCAGAGUGCAGUCGCAGUCGUCAACUGAAGUAAUUUCGUCACUAGAAAAUCCCAAGGUUUUUCCGGAGAGGAGCAAUGUCUCAAGGUUGCCGGCUUCAAAUAAGGAUGAAAAGGAGAAGGCUCAGAAAUGUGAGUUUGUACAAGGCCUGUUGAUGUCUACUAUUCUUGAUGAGUUAUGAUUGGUUAUAGGUUCGUCGGAAGAGGAGACCUCGCCAGUUAAAGUACGGAACCAUGAGUGUAGGUCGUUGGGAUGGAUCGGUCUGAUUUGAAUAUUGCAGCAGGUGGCACGGCAAUAGUUAUUAGGUAAUGUAAACUAUGGAAUGUUCUAUUAUCCAAAAAGUAUAUAUGUGCAUAAAUGGAAAGAUGGAAGUUCUUAUUUUAUCAACAUUUAGUAUUAUUAUAUGAUAAUGCAACUCUUAAUCAUAGAUAACUGUCCCGAUCCCCUAGAAUUU